Long non-coding RNA from Symphalangus syndactylus (siamang), 1552 nucleotides. RefSeq lists it as uncharacterized. NCBI's taxonomy places the organism in Eukaryota, Metazoa, Chordata, Mammalia, Primates, Hylobatidae. The record is from RefSeq and is a predicted model, not a curated record.
UCACUACCUUUUAGCUUUAUUCGUGCCCUCUUCUUUGCUUGUUUAUUCUCAUGGGUUAUUCUAUGUCGUUGUCAUAUUCAUCGUUUGCUGCCUUGCUGGCUUGCUGGCUUAUGUAUUUACUCACUUCCUUCCUUCCUUCCUUCCUUCCUUCCUUCCUUCCUUCCUUCCUGGCACGGUCUUCCUCUGUCUCUGUCGCCCAGGAUUACCCCAGCCUCCACGCUUUGGACCGACCAAAGAGGUCGUCCUGCCUCUGAUCCCUCCCAUCCCCGUUACCUGGGACUACAGGCACGCACCACCACACCGGCUGACUUUUAUGUUGUUUCUCAUGUUUUCCGUAUGUAGGUAGGUAGGUGUCGUCUCACAUGUCGACGUGAUCUCAAACUUUUAGGCUCCAGCGAUCCUCCCACGUCGGCCUGCCAGAGUGCUGUGAUGACACGCUUGGGCACGACGGGGUUUCACUCUUGUCGCCCAGGGUGGAGUACAAUGGCGCGAUCUCGGCCCACCGAAACCUCCGCCUCCCAGGUUCAACUGAUUCUCCUGCCUCAGCCUUCCCGAGUAGCUGGAAUGACAGGAAUGCGCCAUCAUGCCCGGCUAAUUUUCCUAUUCCUAUUUUCUUUUUUUUUUUUUUUGAGACGGAGUCUCGCUCUCUCGCCCAGGCUGGAGGGCAGUGGCGCAAUCUCGGCUCACUGCAAGCUCCGCCUCCCGGGUUCACGCCAUUCUCCUGCCUCAGCAUCCCGAGUAGCUGGGACUACAGGCGCCCGCAACCACGCUCGGCUGAUUUUUUUUUUUUUUUUUUUUUUUGUAUUUUUAGUACAGACGGGGUUUCACCGUGUUCGCCAGGAUGGUCUCGAUCUCCUGACCUCGUGAUCCACCCUCCUCGGCCUCCCAAAGUGCUGGGAUGACAAACAUGAGCCACCGCACCCGGCCAAUUUUCCUAUUUUCAGUACACGUGGGGUCUCUCCAUCUUGGUCAGUCUGGUCUUCAACUUCUGACCAUUGGAGAAUUUUAACUUUCUUGGUGGUUCUUUCUCUUUUUGUGUUGUUUUUCUUUUCUUUUCUUUCCUUCUCCUCCCCCACCCCCACCCCCACCCCCCAUGUUCUCCUCCUCCUCCUCCUUUUUAAUUUUUUUCAGCUGGGCUCUCCUACUUGUGUUGCUCAGUUGCUCACGCUGGUCUCAAACUCCUGGCCUUGACGCUUCUCCCGUCACCUCCACCGUCUGGUUGUUGAAAUGAGCAUCUUUUGUAAAAUGGAAAAGAUGAAAAAAAUAAAGAGAAAGACAACAAGCCCGGAGUGCACGUUUCUUUUGCCGUCUCCCAGGGUGUACCUUGGACCCGAUAAGACGGAGGGAGCUUGGCUGAGUGGGUUCCCGGUGCUAAAUCCUCCUGAGGGCCUCCUUCCCUCUCCCCCCUGUCCCCGCUUCUCCCCCCGCCAAGUCUCCCACCGCCGCCGUGGCAUUUUCCGUAGGAGAGGUAUGGGAGAGGACUGACGCGGCUUCCAGAUCUGUAUCCUGCCACACGUCUCUGCCUCGGCGUCCCCCACCGGCUACCUGCCAC